Molecule: long non-coding RNA, 551 nt
Filed under: Pongo abelii (Sumatran orangutan)
Lineage: Eukaryota; Metazoa; Chordata; Mammalia; Primates; Hominidae
Description: lincRNA
Source: RNAcentral
CCCUGCCGCUAUGGAAACAGCAGUAUCAGAAACAACAGUCCUGGUUAGCGGCGUGCUCAUGCCAUGUGCCUGUCAGUUCUGCAAGCAUCUGUUGGAUGUGAAGGUUGAUGGGAUGACCACACUGCCCACAACAGGCAAAAGGGUGCAGACAGCUGAGGCUCCUCACUUCCCGCUCCAAAGCUCAGAACCUCCCUUCCCUCCUGGAUCCAACAGAAGCAGCGGCCGCUGCUGUCUGUGCCUCUCAAACUUGUCACCCACGGAUGCUGGGAAAAAUGCACAUAAAAUUGACCUCGGGCUGAUUCCAGGACCCGACCCUGGAUUCCUCCAGAGGAUCCAGAGCCCAUCCUGAUGAGCUCAUGUGUGCAAUGAGGUAAGAGUGGAUAGCACCGGUGGCACCUGACCUCUCGCCUCUGUUCCUCUCCUGUGAGAGCCUUUGCACCACAGGGCAGGGGCCAGAGGGCUUCACAGCCGGGCCCUGUCACCUCCCCCGCGUGGCACCCUUCACUCUCCUCACCCUGCUGGGCCCUGCAUAAGGCCUGCUGCCCGCAGCC